Molecule: long non-coding RNA, 394 nt
Filed under: Manihot esculenta (cassava)
Lineage: Eukaryota; Viridiplantae; Streptophyta; Magnoliopsida; Malpighiales; Euphorbiaceae
Description: long non-coding RNA (MESC_LNC002631)
Source: RNAcentral
ACCAAGUUAUAUUGUUUAAAUUUCCCAAGACAAUAGUAGCAAAAGGGACAUGGUAAAGUACUUAAGUCGAGUCCAGCUUAUAGAAUCAUGCAGUUAGUGAGAUUAUACCCUAGAUCUUCCACAAUUCAGCUCAACGCCACACGUUGUAGAUCUUUCCUUUCAACCUUGGUCCGCCCCUCGUAUUUCUCCACCAAUAUUCAGAGACAACGAACCAUAUACAUUCUAGAAAGCGACCACAACUCAAGUUAAAACAAAUGGAGUCGACUUUUGUGGACAUGGCUACAAGAGCAAAUCUCAUCUAACCAGUCCUCUAGACCAAGCAAUGAUGGAUGGAGUCUGGGCCCAAGGUACCAUCAAGUUCAAUUGCGACCCCGCAGGAAAGUCCCCAUCAAGA